Balaenoptera ricei (Rice's whale) is the source of this 629-nucleotide long non-coding RNA. RefSeq lists it as uncharacterized. The record is from RefSeq and is a predicted model, not a curated record. Lineage: Eukaryota; Metazoa; Chordata; Mammalia; Artiodactyla; Balaenopteridae. The transcript has 3 exons.
CUGCUUCCCCCUCUCACGCGCGCAUGCGAGUCCCGGAACGGUCGAGCAGUUUUGUUUUUUUUCGGAAAGGGCAGUUUUGUUUUUUUGGAUAGAAGUGAGCACCUCUGCCUCUCCCGAUACCGAGUACGCCGGGCUUUGCUGGGCCCGGAAGGAAGUCUUUGAAGAGUAGUUUUCAGGAAAUGGAAGAGUAAGGCUUACCAUCCAUUCAACAAAAGUUUGAGCAAUUGAAAACAUACAUACACACAAGAAACAACUAGAAAUGUGUCAUGCUGAUAAAACACAGCAAUGUGAUGGAGAACAACUGGGCGGUUACCUUACAAUAUAUAGGAAGAAGAAAUAGAAGAUAAAGGAGAUGAAAAGCAAAACCAAGAACCACAAAGGAUGAAGUUGAGAGAGAAUUAUUGGUGAAGAUUUUGAGACUGGGCCUUAAAGUCAGCUGUGGACUUGAAAUGUACUGAAGUGAAAAGAAUGGGGCCAAGGAGGUUUUAAGAAGUGCUACUGUGGGUUACAAGUUGAAUUACCUAUAGUAUUCAAGUAAUGGAAGUAAAGAUUAAAAUGACUUUUAAAUUAUCUUUGAUUAUGGAACCAAAUUCUGUGGAGUGUGAAGCCCUGCCAAGACUGGGUCCUGC